AUGACCGCAUCGUUGAAGAAAACCGAGAGGAAGGCCGAGCCUCUCUCCAUUCAUUUUCAUACUCUGGUACUAACAUUGCUUGUAACUGCAGCUAUCUUAGAUUCAGUUACAGCCAAGGCGUCUCCAUAUGUCUCAACGAGAUCUGUGUUGGAUAAUGAAGUAGAGAAUGAGUCGCUUCGAGUUGGGGCACCUAGGAACUUCUACGACGAAUCAGGGCUUUAUGGGCCGAUUACGGCUAAGGCACCACAAACAUAUUUGGAUGAUUCGAAAGAAGCAGAGGAACCCACUUCGGAUCUUUAUGAAACGACUUCAGAGCCGACUGAAACAGAAGAACCGAUUUCAAAUCUCGAUGAAACAACUUCGGAGCCGACUGAAACAGAAGAACCGAUUUCAAAUCUCGAUGAAACAACUUCGGAGCCGACUGAAACAGAAGAACCGACUUCAGAUCUGGAUGAAACAACCUCGGAGCUGACUGAAAUAGACGAACCACUGGUAGUUUCGACACGUCCGUCCAGGUUGUUGGAUUUGGACGGCGAAUCCUCAAAAUCAGCAGACCCGAUUUCAGCCGCGGAAGAUCUUCUUUACGAUGACCCUUACAUGAGGCACGUUGCCGGCCCGCUGAAAGAUGAUGACUUAGAGUACAGUCUCGAUUUUUACGCCGAUAAAAUGGCGAUGAAAGAAUUUGACUUCAACCCUGUAGACAUUGCGAGAAAGCUAACAGCUGCUGCUAAAGCGCACGGCACUCAACCAGACCAAUUCCUCGGGGAGAUCCAAGACUUGAUAGCUUUGCAGAACCGGUCGAGCACGGAGGUGACUGGACCCUCCAACGAAAAAGAGGUCUCGCAACUCCACUCAGUGUUAAUGAGAUCGAGUUUACUACAGCGAGUUAUAGACGGCUGGAAGUACGCAUUGAAACGCCUUGAGGAGAAAUAUAACGUGAGCGCGGAGUCCGCAGGUCCUGAGUCAAUCACGGCCACACGGCUGGCUCUCAUGUUCCCGCAAUACGUCAAUUUUGGCCAAAAACCAUUCACGGAGCCCUCGUGGACCAACGUGUUGUCGGCGGAGUCAUUCGGUGAACAGCAGAGCCUUUCGGUUCCAGAAUUUUUCAAACGUCCGGAAUUCAGUGGCUUCAUCCCUCGAGAAUCGAACUCGAUUGGGCUGCAACAUGCUAGGCAAGCAAUCAUAGGCACACACUUGUAUGCUCUUCACAAAGACAAUCUCAAUGAUGGGGUCCCUCUUCGGACCAAAUGCGUGAUGUUAAAGCGACGGAUUGAUAAAAGUUUGCUGUCGAAGGAGCGCAGAAUUAGGUUUCUCAUAAAUAAUGACAUUGUCGACAUUAGAGGUUACGUGGUAGACUCGAUAGAGAGAACUUUCUGGAAUCUUCCGGAAAAUUUCACUCAGAAAAUCAUGUGGGAUCUUUUUGGAUAGAGCAAACCCAUGAACCCUAAAUUCUACCAGUUGAUACAUGUGCCCUUUACAUGUUUUGCAACACUCGUCUGCAGUUUUGACGAGCUAAAAUUGGAUUACCUUUUGCAAUAAGGAACCACUAUCUCUGGCUCUUCCAUAAAAGUACGUAUCUGCAUAGGAAAACCAAUGACAUAUAUGUUGUUUCUAAAAUGAUCCAGAAAUUGUGGUUCUUUAUUACAAAAUAUGGUCCAAUUAGUCCCUGCAUCUCACGGCAAUAAAAGAGAGAACAAGACGUUUCUCAGCGCUGCCGUGCGAGGGAAAAACGCCGCAUGAACAUUCGAGAGUUGCCAAAUUUCCUUCGAUAAAAAAUUUAUUUUGAGGAAAGCUAUGUACAUUUUUCCUUCAAAUUUUAAGGAACUCUAGGUAAAAUUGCGAGCAAAAUUAUAUGAAAAAUUGAAAGAAAAAUAUUUACAAAUUUGCCCGAGAAUUCAUGAUUUACCUAAGGAGAUUUGGCAACGCCUGAAGGUUCAUACGGUGUUUUUCCUUAGCACGGUAGAGCGGGUAAACGUCUUGCCAGUGAUUUGAGACAGCGCGAGCGCGGCUGGUGCUGCAAGUCGUAUCAUACUGUCAGCAAAAAAUUUGGGGGGGGGGGUUAAAAAAAUUAGCGCUCCUUCAAUUUCUCAAGUAUGCAACGUAGACGUCCGAGAGCAAGAAUAGUUGCAUCUGGGCGUUGCCAUCUACCGCAUCUCGCUUGCGCCGACAAAGACACCGAGGACAUUCAUCUUUUUUUGUCCGAUAAAAUUCGGAGGUAUGAACCACGAGUGACAUUAAAACUUUUAAAGUCUCUAUAGGAAUGAAAUAAAGUAACACUGACUUACUUAUAUACUGAGAAGAACCAAUUUCUUCAUUUAGAUUUUGUAUAAUUAAAAUAAUUAAUGCUCAUUGAUUUUAAGUUUAGGAUCUUCUGUUUGGGCGAACUUCGUGAAUCUUGGUUGAAUGGAGUUGCGAAUAAUUUCAUAUUAAUUAAAAAACAUCAGCGUUCACCAGACGUUUCACGAUCUGAGAAAUACAAUGAAUUACAUGACUGUACGCUGAUGCUGGUACAUAUGUGGGUUUCUCUCGCUUAGAUAUUAUCUAAUUAGGAUGAAUAGCAUUUGUAUUGCUUCUUUCACCAUUGAAGAGAGGCAUCUCAGUUAACAUCAGAAAUAGAAGAAUGACGACUGGAUUCAUCUCAUAAUUUUUUGUAAGUCUAUCAGACACCAUGAUCUAACACUUAUCCUGCGACUAAUUCUUCAAUUACAAUUCUGUAGCAUUAGUAACUGACCAAUUACUUGUAUCUUUCUUUUCUUCUUCAUUCUUUCUACUGCAACUAAUACUCAUGUGAUGCUUUUGAAAAAAGAGACUUAAGGUAAUUUUCAUAUAUUUGUUCAUUUCUUUAAUUAUUUUUACAAUAUUAUGAAUGACAUUGUAGUAUUACAAUGGAGGAGCAAAAA
Molecule: long non-coding RNA, 2900 nt
Filed under: Bemisia tabaci
Lineage: Eukaryota; Metazoa; Arthropoda; Insecta; Hemiptera; Aleyrodidae
Description: lncRNA ENSSSA1NGG014241
Source: RNAcentral